UCUACGGGUGGCAGCAGUAGGGAAUAUUGCUCAAUGGGGGAAACCCUGAAGCAGCAACGCCGCGUGGAGGAUGAAGGUUUUCGGAUUGUAAACCCCUUUUUUUAGAGAAGAUAAUGACGGUAUCUAACGAAUAAGCACCGGCUAACUCCGUGCCAGCAGCCGCGGUAAUACGGGGGGUGGAAGCGUUACUCGGAAUCACGGGGCGUAAAGGGCGCGUAGGCGGGAUAGCAAGUCAGAUGUGAAAUCCUAUGGCUUAACCAUAGAACUGCAUUUGAAACUGUUAUUCUAGAGUAUGGGAGAGGUAGGUGGAAUUCUUGGUGUAGCGGUAAAAUCCGUAGAGAUCAAGAAGAAUACUGAUUGCGAAGGCGGCCUGCUAGAACGUAACUGACGCUGAUGCACGAAAGCGUGGGGAGCGAACAGGAUUAGAUACCCCUGUAGUC
This 440-nucleotide ribosomal RNA is filed under the name uncultured bacterium. RNAcentral describes it as "partial 16S ribosomal RNA". It matches the Rfam family "Bacterial small subunit ribosomal RNA", at positions 338 to 795 of the family's 1533-position model. The record is from RNAcentral.